UACGUAGGUGGCAAGCGUUGUUCGGAAUGACUGGGCGUAAAGGGCGUGUAGGUGGACUGAUCAAGUUCGGGUGUGAAAUAUCCAGGACUCAACCUGGAGGGUGCAUCCGAUACGGUCAGUCUUGAGUGCAGGAGAGGGCAGUGGAAUUCCCAGUGUAGCGGUGAAAUGCGUAGAUAUUGGGAGGAACACCAGUUGCGAAGGCGGGUAACUGGACUGCAACUGACGCUGAGGCGCGAAAGGUGUGGGGAGCAAACCAGGAUUA
Molecule: ribosomal RNA, 262 nt
Filed under: uncultured prokaryote
Description: partial 16S ribosomal RNA
Rfam family: Bacterial small subunit ribosomal RNA
Source: RNAcentral